Molecule: ribosomal RNA, 494 nt
Filed under: uncultured marine bacterium
Lineage: Bacteria
Description: bacterial SSU rRNA
Rfam family: Bacterial small subunit ribosomal RNA
Source: RNAcentral
AGAGUUUGAUCCUGGCUCAGAUUGAACGCUGGCGGUAUGCUUAACACAUGCAAGUCGAACGGUAACAGCAGAGCUUGCUCUGGCUGACGAGUGGCGGACGGGUGCGUAACGCGUGGGAAUCUACCUUUAGUGGGGGAUAGCCCGGAGAAAUCCGGAUUAAUACCGCAUAAGCCCUACGGGGGAAAAGGGGCCUCUUCUUGAAAGCUCUUGCUAUUACAUGAGCCCGCGUAAGAUUAGCUAGUUGGUGGGGUAAUGGCCUACCAAGGCAACGAUCUUUAGCUGGUCUGAGAGGAUGAUCAGCCACACUGGGACUGAGACACGGCCCAGACUCCUACGGGAGGCAGCAGUGGGGAAUAUUGGACAAUGGGCGGAAGCCUGAUCCAGCAAUACCGCGUGUGUGAAGAAGGCCUGAGGGUUGUAAAGCACUUUCAAUAGCGACGAAAAGCCUAAAGUUAAUAACUUUGGGUCAUUGACUUAAACUAUAGAAGAAGCAC